RNAcentral lists this long non-coding RNA (380 nucleotides) under Lactuca sativa (garden lettuce). RNAcentral's name for it is "long non-coding RNA (LSAT_LNC005917)". Lineage: Eukaryota; Viridiplantae; Streptophyta; Magnoliopsida; Asterales; Asteraceae. The record is from RNAcentral.
CCAUUGAAAUGAAGGUAGCAACAACAAGAGUGCCACUAGUGAUGGUGGAUGACCAUAACGACGCACCAGAACCAAACCCUAAGCUCUGAAAAAUCACAGGCGCAUAAAACAACACAGAAUUCAUCCCUGUAAGCUGUUGAAACGCAGGUAUACCCAAAGCUCCGAUGAUCAAUUGUGGUCGAUUUUUUCUCUUUAGAAGGUUCCUGAAAGGAUGUUUAAUGGCUUUUGCAGCUUCACUUGCUUCAACCAGAUCUUGAAAUUCUGCUUCGAUGUUUUUGGUACCUCUAACUCUUUCCAAAACCCUUCUCCCCUCUUCUAAUUUCCCUUGUUCGACUAAACUGUUCGGCGUUUCCGGCAAGAAAAGCCCUCCGACGAACAUC